This is a long non-coding RNA of Cervus elaphus (red deer), 1159 nucleotides long. RefSeq lists it as uncharacterized. NCBI's taxonomy places the organism in Eukaryota, Metazoa, Chordata, Mammalia, Artiodactyla, Cervidae. The record is from RefSeq and is a predicted model, not a curated record. The transcript is spliced from 3 exons.
CAAAAAGCAGUGACUAGGCUGCACAUUGUAAGCUGUAAGACUCCCAUUUGUUACUUUUCAUGAGCCUCUGAGGAUAAAUACUUAGUUCACUCAACCCAACCAGUGGUUGUCCUGGGUUUGGUAAUGACCAGCAGGAGGCGAGUGCCACCACACCCAGCUACUCAUUCCAGAGAACCCAGAGAUGCUCCACAGAACCCAGAAGACAUGGGUACCUACCAUCUUAGGAGAGGAGAAAACUUUUCCCCUUUGUGUUCUCAUGGCUUUUGAGCUUUGUGGGGGCAGGAAUUAGUCAGUCGGCUUCUCUGGUGGCUCAGAUGGUGAAGAAUCCGCCUGCAAUGUGGGAGACCAGUGUUCAAUCUCUGGGUUGAGAAGAUCCCCUGGAGGAGGGCAUGGCAAUGCACUCCAGUAUUCUCGCCUGGAGAAUCCCAUGGACAAAGGAGCCUGGUGAGCCACAGUCCAUGGGGUCGCAAACAGUCAGACAGAACCGAGCGACUAAGCACAGCACAUGUGCUGACGUGUCUGUACAGCUGGUAUCUGAUGUACUUGGUAAGGUAAGGUGAAGUCGCUCAGGCGUGUCCGACUCUGACGCUUUACCGUCUGAGCCACCGGGGAAGUCACAGGGAUGUGCUUGGAGUAUGAUCUUAAACUCUCUUCUUCCUUGGUUUCCUGGACACCAGACCUGUUCGAUUCUCCUCUAAAUUCUCUAAUUCUCCCUUUUAUUUUCCUGGCUGGUUCCUCUUUCUUUGCUUGGUCCUUCGAUGGUCUUUACACUCAUUCUUCUUUCUGUCCUUCUUAAUCUUCCUGCUCCCCUGGGUGCUCUUACCUGAUCCCACCACUUCACUCACUCCCUACAAGCAGAUGUCUCCACAGUUUGUGUCGUGACCUGGUCUCAUCCUUCAACCCAACCAGUGGCCAGACAUCUUUACAAGGAUGGCUCAUGAGUAUCUCACGUGAGACUCCUUUUUGCCAGACUUUGAAGUUUUUUGCUUCAAUGCCCAUUUCCUUCAUUUAUUUCAUCAUUAUUUAGCCCUUCUAAUACUUUCUGUAUUUCUAUAAAGAGAGCUGAGUGCCAAAGAAUUGAUGCUUUUGAACUGUGGUGUUGGAUAAGACUCUUGAGAGUUCCUUGGACUGCAAGGAGAUCCAAUCAGUCCAUCCUAAA